AGAGUUUGAUCCUGGCUCAGAAUCAACGCUGGCGGCGUGCCUAACACAUGCAAGUCGAACGGGAAAGUGGAGCAAUCCAUGAGUAUAGUGGCGACCGGGUGAGUAACACGUGACUACCUGCCCUUGAGUGGGGGAUAACCUCGGGAAACCGAGGCUAAUACCGCAUAACAUCGCAAGAUCAAAGGAGCAAUCCGCUUUUGGAGGGGGUCGCGGCUGAUUAGCUAGUUGGUAAGGUAAUGGCUUACCAAGGCGAAGAUCGGUAUCCGGCCUGAGAGGGCGCACGGACACACUGGAACUGAAACACGGUCCAGACUCCUACGGGAGGCAGCAGUGGGGAAUUUUGCGCAAUGGGGGAAACCCUGACGCAGCAACGCCGCGUGGAGGAUGAAGCCCCUUGGGGCGUAAACUCC
Molecule: ribosomal RNA, 410 nt
Filed under: uncultured bacterium
Lineage: Bacteria
Description: bacterial SSU rRNA
Rfam family: Bacterial small subunit ribosomal RNA
Source: RNAcentral